RNAcentral lists this ribosomal RNA (247 nucleotides) under uncultured bacterium. Its description in RNAcentral is "partial 16S ribosomal RNA". It matches the Rfam family "Bacterial small subunit ribosomal RNA", at positions 86 to 334 of the family's 1533-position model. The record is from RNAcentral.
AGAUGGCGACCGGCGCACGGGUGAGUAACACGCAUCCAACCUGCCGAUAACUCGGGGGUAGCCUUUCGAAAGAAAGAUUAAUACCCGAUGGUAUAAUCAGACCGCAUGGUUUGAUUAUUAAAGAAUUUCGGUUAUCGAUGGGGAUGCGUUCCAUUAGGCAGUUGGUGAGGUAACGGCUCACCAAACCUUCGAUGGAUAGGGGUUCUGAGAGGAAGGUCCCCCACAUUGGAACUGAGACACGGUCCAA